Long non-coding RNA from Gymnodraco acuticeps, 283 nucleotides. RefSeq lists it as uncharacterized. The record is from RefSeq and is a predicted model, not a curated record. The transcript has 3 exons. NCBI's taxonomy places the organism in Eukaryota, Metazoa, Chordata, Actinopteri, Perciformes, Bathydraconidae.
CAACAACGUGUGUUGUUAGAGUGGAAGGUGGAUAUGACACCAAUGACCAAGCUUGCAUAUUGCCAACUGUGAAGGCACCCAACUGCUCCUGUAAAGGCAAACACUUCACUGUGGUACCAGGCAAACCAGUGAUUUUAAUUACCAGCAAUGGGCGUUAUGACUUGCAUCUGCCACUAUAUGUCUGUCAAACUUGCCAGCAGCAGUGGACCCCCGACUUGAAAGUCCUCCUUAAGAGUGGAUACUGGCCAGCUUCGGUCAGUAUUUCCACACUUUACACCUUGGA